Molecule: ribosomal RNA, 253 nt
Filed under: uncultured bacterium
Lineage: Bacteria
Description: partial 16S ribosomal RNA
Rfam family: Bacterial small subunit ribosomal RNA
Source: RNAcentral
UACAGAGGUUCCAAGCGUUGUUCGGAUUCACUGGGCGUAAAGGGUGCGUAGGCGGUCGGGUAAGUCUGAUGUGAAAUCUCACAGCUUAACUGUGAAACUGCAUUGGAUACUAUCCGGCUCGAGGAAUGGAGGGGAGACUGGAAUACUUGGUGUAGCAGUGAAAUGCGUAGAUAUCAAGUGGAACACCAGUGGCGAAGGCGAGUCUCUGGACAUUUCCUGACGCUGAGGCACGAAAGCCAGGGGAGCGAACGGG